Molecule: long non-coding RNA, 1118 nt
Organism: Labeo rohita (rohu)
Lineage: Eukaryota; Metazoa; Chordata; Actinopteri; Cypriniformes; Cyprinidae
Exons: 4
Source: RefSeq, a predicted model, not a curated record
AGGAAGAAGGAUCUUAUCCAGCAAAACUUUUUAACCUCAGAUGCUCGUCUUGUCUAAGUCUGCGUGAACUCUUUACCGGUGCAGUUAGGGUAUGUUGAAAAACUCCUGUCACGAUUGCUUACCCAACUUCAAAAUCUUCCUUCAUCGCUGCAGAAGUACCAACCCAGUGUUUACAAAAUGAACAUGCAAAGAAGAUUAAACGCCCUUUACAAAAAAAAAAAAAAAACAAAAACUGUAAAACAACAAUGUGUAAUGAUAAAAGAGGAGCAUUUGAGGCUAAAAAUUAUAUAAAAUGUUUGUAUUAAUUUGUUUUGAAAAUGACCAAUCGUUUCGCUAGAUAAGACCCUUCUUCCUUGGCUGGGAUCGUUUAGAGCCAUUUGAAGCUGCAUUUAAACUGCAUUUUGGAACUUAAGACUUGGGAGCACCAUUGGAGUCCAUUAUAUGGAGAUAAUUCCUGAAAUGUUUUCCUCAAGAAACAUGAUUUCUUAUCGACUGAAGAAAGAAAGACAUGAACAUAUUGGAUGACAAAUGGAUAAUGCUCCUACAGCUAUUACGAUGAAGGAGCAACCAGACACUGUUACAAAGAGCUUCUUAAUAAACAUGGAAAGAAAAAAGGAAUUUAUUUACCAUUAUAACAUGCAGUCAGCUGGUUUUCUCUUGUUGUGCAUUUCAUUCACCAUUCUGCUCUUUGAAUCGAGUAAUGCCCCUACAGAUAGGCUUACAUAACAGUCGACAGGGGUGUGACAUUACUCCUCCCUCCUGGAAGGUGCGACCUCGCGCGUAGAACAAAACAAAAACAAAGGAGUGUAGGAGGAGGCUUUGGCGGAGGACAGACUCCCAGGAGGAGGACAACAAACAAAGUCCAGGGUGGUGACGACGGAGGGAGGAGCCAAGGAGGAGACAGAAGGAUCCAGAGCGGAUCUGACGGAGGGAGGAGCCAGGGAAGAGACAGAAGGAUCCAGGGUGGAUCCGACGGAGGGAGGAGCCAUGGAGGAGACAGAGGGGGCCCCGGAGCAGGAGGAGCCAGACGAGACCCAGGCCGCAGCCAUGAUGGUGGCCCACGGCGGAGCAGCGGGGCUGUCAGGAGACAGCAGUGGUGGGACUGAGGCAACUGGGAU